Molecule: RNA transcript, 348 nt
Organism: Oreochromis niloticus (Nile tilapia)
Lineage: Eukaryota; Metazoa; Chordata; Actinopteri; Cichliformes; Cichlidae
Exons: 3
Source: RefSeq, a predicted model, not a curated record
CAACACUAUAAAUUCAGUCUGACAGUGAGUUAGUGAGAGUUAGUUACAGUGAGUCAAACCCACUCCCUCCUCCAACUAUGACGGCCUAGACAGAGACUUUAUGCAAGCUUCUUUGAAGUUGGCAGACAGUGAAGGUGAAGAGUGAAGAGUCAGACGCUGUUCUUCUGAAGUUUCACAACUUUUCUGCAUCAGGAUUAAAGUCAGAAUGAAAAUCCUCCAUUUUCUCUUCUUCUGCUUCUUGUCAGGUCCAGCUGGGCUCGUCAAGGCAAAACAUAAUAUUUGGUCUGCAGCUGAAGGACUAAAUGCUACACUUAACUGCAACUUACCUUUGUCUGGAACCACAAAGUU